RNAcentral lists this ribosomal RNA (492 nucleotides) under uncultured bacterium. RNAcentral's name for it is "partial 16S ribosomal RNA". It matches the Rfam family "Bacterial small subunit ribosomal RNA", at positions 29 to 507 of the family's 1533-position model. The record is from RNAcentral.
AGUGAACGCUGGCGGUAGGCCUAACACAUGCAAGUCGAACGGCAGCACAGUAAGAGCUUGCUCUUACGGGUGGCGAGUGGCGGACGGGUGAGGAAUACAUCGGAAUCUACUUUUUCGUGGGGGAUAACGUAGGGAAACUUACGCUAAUACCGCAUACGACCUACGGGUGAAAGCAGGGGAUCUUCGGACCUUGCGCGAUUGAAUGAGCCGAUGUCGGAUUAGCUAGUUGGCGGGGUAAAGGCCCACCAAGGCGACGAUCCGUAGCUGGUCUGAGAGGAUGAUCAGCCACACUGGAACUGAGACACGGUCCAGACUCCUACAGGAGGCAGCAGUGGGGAAUAUUGGACAAUGGGCGCAAGCCUGAUCCAGCCAUACCGCGUGAGUGAAGAAGGCCUUCGGGUUGUAAAGCCCUUUUGUUGGGAAAGAAAAGCAGCAGGUUAAUACCCCGCUGUUCUGACGGUACCCAAAGAAUAAGCACCGGCUAACUUCGUG